Molecule: ribosomal RNA, 250 nt
Filed under: uncultured Desulfonatronum sp.
Lineage: Bacteria; Pseudomonadati; Thermodesulfobacteriota; Desulfovibrionia; Desulfovibrionales; Desulfonatronaceae
Description: partial 16S ribosomal RNA
Rfam family: Bacterial small subunit ribosomal RNA
Source: RNAcentral
UACGGAGGGUGCAAGCGUUAUUCGGAAUUACUGGGCGUAAAGGGCGUGUAGGCGGCCUUGUAAGUCAGAUGUGAAAGCCCACGGCUUAACCGUGGAACUGCAUUUGAAACUGCUUGGCUAGAGUACGGGAGAGGGUGGCGGAAUUCCCGGUGUAGGAGUGAAAUCCGUAGAUAUCGGGAGGAACACCAGUGGCGAAGGCGGCCACCUGGACCGUAACUGACGCUGAGACGCGAAAGCGUGGGGAGCAAAC